RNAcentral lists this ribosomal RNA (253 nucleotides) under uncultured bacterium. Its description in RNAcentral is "partial 16S ribosomal RNA". It matches the Rfam family "Bacterial small subunit ribosomal RNA", at positions 524 to 776 of the family's 1533-position model. The record is from RNAcentral.
UACGGGGGGGGCAAGCGUUGUUCGGAAUUACUGGGCGUAAAGGGUUCGUAGGUGGUGCGGCAAGUUGGGAGUGAAAUCUCUGGGCUUAACUCAGAGGCUGCUUUCAAAACUGCCGCGCUCGAGUGCGAGAGAGGUCAGUGGAAUUGCAGGUGUAGCGGUGAAAUGCGUAGAUAUCUGCAGGAACACCCGUGGCGAAGACGGCUGACUGGAUCGCAACUGACACUGAGGAACGAAAGCUAGGGGAGCAAACAGG